GCUACCUGCAGUCGAGCGGAUGAAGGGAGCUUGCUCCUGGAUUCAGCGGCGGACGGGUGAGUAAUGCCUAGGAAUCUGCCUGGUAGUGGGGGAUAACGUCCGGAAACGGGCGCUAAUACCGCAUACGUCCUGAGGGAGAAAGUGGGGGAUCUUCGGACCUCACGCUAUCAGAUGAGCCUAGGUCGGAUUAGCUAGUUGGUGGGGUAAAGGCCUACCAAGGCGACGAUCCGUAACUGGUCUGAGAGGAUGAUCAGUCACACUGGAACUGAGACACGGUCCAGACUCCUACGGGA
This 293-nucleotide ribosomal RNA is filed under the name Aquipseudomonas alcaligenes. RNAcentral's name for it is "Pseudomonas alcaligenes partial 16S ribosomal RNA". It matches the Rfam family "Bacterial small subunit ribosomal RNA", at positions 60 to 346 of the family's 1533-position model. Lineage: Bacteria; Pseudomonadati; Pseudomonadota; Gammaproteobacteria; Pseudomonadales; Pseudomonadaceae. The record is from RNAcentral.